Long non-coding RNA from Cotesia glomerata, 1346 nucleotides. RefSeq lists it as uncharacterized. The record is from RefSeq and is a predicted model, not a curated record. The transcript is spliced from 4 exons. Lineage: Eukaryota; Metazoa; Arthropoda; Insecta; Hymenoptera; Braconidae.
AACUUUUUUUGGUUUGGACAAAAAAAUUUGAAAAAAUUCUCAAAAAUGUUUUUCAAAGCAUAGAAUGAUAGAGUUUCAGCUAAAUCUAAAUUCCUUAAGGGGUCGAGUUCAAAAGUGGUCGAUUUGGCAUGGAAUACCCCAUAUUAUACAAUAUAAUGGAGGUUCCUUUCCUGUUCGGCACCUUGAAGAAUGCCUUUGAGAGUCACCAUGAUGUUAAUAAUUAACCAAGAUUUAAGGAGAGAAGGAGAGGAUACCUGAGAAAGAUGCUGAGUUUGUGUGUUGGAUGUUGGAUGUUGUGAGUCACCUCGGCGAAUAGAGCAACGGGUCUGUAUACUACAGCGUAGUAUAGCAUAGAUGCCAAAUGCCAAGUUGCUGUAAGCCGGCCACAUGGUGAUUCGUGAAAAAUAAAAGAAUCUUUGAAGAAUAAUUACGUUGAUGAUAAUAUAGCAAGAAUGUCUUUAAAAUAACGAUUACAUAAAACCAAAAAUCCUCGAGGACUUUCUUGCCAAUAAAACCUACUCUGAGACUAAUAAAUUCCAGUAAUAUGACCUCCAGCGGCUGGUUUGGUCUACGGAAGAUCUUGUAAUAUAAAAACUUACGUUAUAAUAUCCUUGAACCUCGAAAACCCGUAGGACAUGAUUACCGAGUUCGAGAAAGGUCCCUUUCCGGUAAUUUCACCGUUUCUAUUAGCUAAAAAAAGGUGUAUUGUUUUUUCGAGAUCGUAAAUCAACUGUGACGAUCCACAAAACUAUCGCAUAGACUAUUAGGAAAAAAGUAGCCCGAAGAAAGAGAUAAGAGGGCUGAAAAAAAGAAAAAGCCGAUUUCGAGUAUAGAAAUAAAUUUUUUAUGCCCAGCAAAGAUUAUUACACCUCGAGUAAAACAAAAUAGUGAACUGCUGGCAGUCGGCGACGUUGAUGACUUGGUGGAAACUUUUCUAAUCGCGUCAUGGAACUCCUAAUCAAUUAUCCAUGCUGGAAGAUUUGACGCUACCGUCAUUUCGUAAUCAAUUUGGUGGGUACCGUUCUACGGUUAUUUUUAAGACCGCUUUUUUACGUCGGACCUAUCGAUAAAAAAAUGACAAGAAUCAGAGUGGAGAAAAAAAUAAAUAAUAAAUAAAUAAAUAAAAAGGAUCAGUCGUUGUAAAGUACGAUCGUCAUUGCAGGUUCCCAUCCAUUACGUGUAUACCACAAUAUUACUUGUACAAACUAGCAUUUUUCCAGUUUCGCUACGCUGUACAACUCGCGUUCAUUCACCUCCGCUUUGUGUGAGCCUGUGGGCCAUAUUAACGAAUGAACGAACGCCGGAAUAGACGCGGUGUCUUUUCCAAGAGCUAACUUGGUUAUUAC